AGCAGUAGCCGCGGUAAUACAGAGGGUGCGAGCGUUAAUCGGAUUUACUGGGCGUAAAGCGUGCGUAGGCGGCUAAUUGAGUCGGAUGUGAAAUCCCCGAGCUUAACUUGGGAAUUGCAUUCGAUACUGGUUAGCUAGAGUGUGGGAGAGGAUGGUAGAAUUCCAGGUGUAGCGGUGAAAUGCGUAGAGAUCUGGAGGAAUACCGAUGGCGAAGGCAGCCAUCUGGCCUAAUACUGACGCUGAGGUACGAAAGCAUGGGGAGCAAACAGGAUUAGAGACCCCGGUAGUCCCUGUCUCUUAUAU
RNAcentral lists this ribosomal RNA (303 nucleotides) under uncultured bacterium. Its description in RNAcentral is "partial 16S ribosomal RNA". It matches the Rfam family "Bacterial small subunit ribosomal RNA", at positions 507 to 809 of the family's 1533-position model. The record is from RNAcentral.